GCAGAACGACCCGAGAACUCGUGAAAACAACUAUGUUGGGGACGGGGAGGGGCCUCGGCUCCCGACCGAAACCUUCGCCGCUCCACGGCCUCGGCUGUGGUUCGGCACAAAACAAAAACCCGGCGCAAUAGGCGUCAAGGAAAUCUUAGCGGAAACAAGGCGGAACCCUGCUUGCGGGGUGAAGCCGCGAAUCCGAUAUUUGAACGACUCUCGGCAACGGAUAUCUCGGCUCUUGCAUCGAUGAAGAACGUAGCGAAAUGCGAUACUUGGUGUGAAUUGCAGAAUCCCGUGAACCAUCGAGUCUUUGAACGCAAGUUGCGCCCCGAGACCUUCUGGUCGAGGGCACGUCUGCCUGGGCGUCACGCACAGCGUCGCCCCCAACCACACCCGUUGUGGAAGGGGAGCGGAGAUUGGCCCCCCGAGCCCUACCGGGCACGGUCGGCACAAAUGCAUGUCCCUCGCAGCGUUCGCUGCGGUCAAGUGGUGGCUUUAAAUACCAUUUCGGUGACCGGACGGCGGACGCUAUCGAGUAGGGACGUAAUCGACCCGCAGAGGCCGUUUCGACGGCGUUUCACCC
Molecule: ribosomal RNA, 577 nt
Filed under: Leptopyrum fumarioides
Lineage: Eukaryota; Viridiplantae; Streptophyta; Magnoliopsida; Ranunculales; Ranunculaceae
Description: eukaryotic LSU rRNA
Rfam family: 5.8S ribosomal RNA (bases 206-362)
Source: RNAcentral